UGCCUGAACAAUGCUGUCUACAGAGGGGAAGGGAUCUGCUGGGGAGGAUUUCGUUUGCGCCGGGCUGGGGUUUGCUGCGGUGGGGGCCGAUGGGUGCGAGAGCGUGCGACCUGUCUGUCCGAGUAAUCUCCGCCGCUGCUAGCUGUAGUUCACUGAUCUGCCAGCGGCAGCAUUGGAGGGAGUUAUACUCUGUUUUAGGCCGCCGUCUACACGUCUCUCCACUGCUUCUUCCGGCUGGGAUGCUUUGGCUCUGCGCUUGGUCUUUUUCUGCUUUCUCAGUUGGGUCGCUGCUGGGGCAGCGCGGACAUUGUUGUUGGUCAGAGGAACGAGCGGUCUCCAUCUGGCCCAAGUCCAACCUGGUGACUGGUGUGCGCAGCGACGCGGUGUGACGGCUUUGUACAGAGGGGCAGACGAUUUGGGGACAACUUAAAGAGGUAAGUGGGAGUAGUUUGGGGGCGUUGUGGAUACGGCGCAUCGUUUGUCACUGUUAUUGGAGGAGGUAUGCCGCUAUGAGUGGUGCUGCAGUCCAAUGAGGAGCGCAUCUCCGUUCAUUACUUUCACUGGAGGAGCCCCGCCGCCGCUUGCUAUCGCCAUCUACUGGUUGUGUGCGGUGCUGACCACGACUGGUUCAUGUACCUGCCGAUGGAGCAGGCUCAGUGGUGUCGCUUUGAAGCAUAGUUAUGUCGGGGCAGCCAGCUUUGACGACAUGCUUUGGUCCAGGGCCGUGCUUCUUCAGCUUUGCUCGGUGGCUAUCUUCCAUGUCUCCUUUUAGUGGAUCCUGUUUGUUCUUCUCCCUUUACUUUUUACAUGUUGUCUCUGCUGUUUGUGCUUGUUGUGAAUGUUCUUGUGCCUUGUGGUGCUGGGAUGUAGAGUUUCUUGGUUUACUUGUUGUACUAUUGACUAAAUUUCUUUCUUCCAAAUCAUGUGUGUGCCCAUCUGGAUUGCUUCUCGCUUAGAGAUUCAUGAUGAUAGCUACAUGCUCUAGUUAGGUAGGGUCAGGGUGGCUUCCAGCUUCACUGGGUUUGGCCAUUAGGUGUAGGAUUUAUGGACAUCCUAUAUGAUGAUAUGGCACCCACGGAAAGGGCAGCCAAGAAAGGAAAAGCAAUUGGUGUUGUUGUUGAGAAGCAUUGGGGAAAGUCUGUAUCUUGCUUGAAAUCUCUUAUGACUUAGUUAUUUCAAUUGCUUGCCUGAUAAAAUUUACUACCUGAAGAUCUUGCUUUUGCACUGUGCCUGGUUUAAUGCUCUAUCCAUUUACUUUGCAGGACGUCACGGGCCUUUGCACCAACUUCCACAAAAGCUCUGUCGUUCCCAUUCGAUGCGCCAACCUUGAUCUUGUGAGCAUUCUCAGCAGCAUCCCGGCGACCAGGGCGUCUUUCCCUAUCAAAUGCUUGGGCCUCCCGCUCUCGGUUUGGAGGCUGAAGAAAGUUGACUUCCAAUACCUCCAGGACAAGGCAGCUGGAAAUUUGGUCACCUGGGAUGGGCAGAACAUCACCACCAUUGGGCGCACGGCCCUUGUUCGAUCUGUCAUCACCUCGCAGGCUGUGUACUCCAUCACACCACUCAUUGUCCCUCAGGGUUCCCUUGACAACCUCAACAAGAUUGAGCGAGCUUUUCUUUGGUCCGGCUCUGACAAGACCACCGGUGCCAAAUGUAAAGUCAACUGGGACAUGGUCUGCCGCCCCACCAGCUAUGGGGGUUUGGGUGUUCUUAACACCGACAAAUUUGCUCGUGCUUUGAGGCUCAGAUGGCUUUGGUUUGAAUGGAAAGAGCCGUCCAAGCUCUGGGUUGGCCUGGGCAACCCUUGCAUCGAGGAGGACCGUGAUUUUUUCUACGCCUCCACUUCCAUCAUCGUGGGCAAUGGGGCCAGAACGCCUUUUUGGGACUCCCCCUAGCUGCUUGGCCGCAAGCCGAAGGACAUUGCACCUCUCGUCUUUGAGGCCUCGAGGAGAAAGAACUGGAAGGUGCGAGAGGCUAUUACAGAGAAUGCUUGGAUGCUUACGAUCAGACGAGACAUCACCAUCACUGGCCAGCAUGUGCAGGAAUUUUUCACCCUCUGGAUGCUCAUCCAUGACAUACACCUCGACAUCCACUCUGAGGAUGACAUCAUUUGGAAGCACUCUUCGGAUGGCUCAUAUUCGGUGUCCACCGCAUACAAGGCACAAUUUCUCGGUUUGACGCUUUCUCCCAUGGACUCCAUGGUCUGGAAAAUGUGGGCGCCCCCAAAGGGUGGCGCCUGCUGCAUCAACUGACAUUGGUGACAUCAUAAAAAAAGAUGCUUGAACUAAAAGUAACUUCAACAGUUGUUGCAGUUGAAGAUGAGCAUGGGGGAAUAUGAUGUGACAUGAUGGGUGCACAAAAUCAACCAACCGGUCGAUAUCUGCUACCAUGCCCUUGCUCAGGCUGGAGCCUCAUUGGAAGGGAACACCUACUGAACAAAAUAACUGGUCGUUGACAUUGACAAUCUUCUCUGCCCUUUGCUGAUAAAGAUUCUUUGUAGAAUAUAUUUUGCCCUCAAAGGAACAUCAAUGAAACAUAGAACACGCUAAGGUGGAGAGAAGAAAAGAUUGUUUGGGAACAGAAGAUGGUUGGUAGCUUCU
This is an RNA transcript of Triticum dicoccoides, 2597 nucleotides long. RefSeq lists it as uncharacterized. The transcript has 5 exons. The record is from RefSeq and is a predicted model, not a curated record. Lineage: Eukaryota; Viridiplantae; Streptophyta; Magnoliopsida; Poales; Poaceae.